Molecule: non-coding RNA, 21 nt
Filed under: Caenorhabditis elegans
Lineage: Eukaryota; Metazoa; Nematoda; Chromadorea; Rhabditida; Rhabditidae
Source: RNAcentral
UCAUCCUCGAAUCAAAUGUUA